This 605-nucleotide ribosomal RNA is filed under the name uncultured bacterium. RNAcentral describes it as "bacterial SSU rRNA". It matches the Rfam family "Bacterial small subunit ribosomal RNA", at positions 71 to 679 of the family's 1533-position model. The record is from RNAcentral.
CAGCAGGUCCUUCGGGAUGCUGACGAGCGGCGGACGGGUGAGUAAUGCAUAGGAAUCUGCCCGGUAGUGGGGGAUAACCUGGGGAAACCCAGGCUAAUACCGCAUACGUCCUACGGGAGAAAGGGGGCUCCGGCUCCCGCUAUGGGAUGAGCCUAUGUCGGAUUAGCUAGUUGGUGAGGUAACGGCUCACCAAGGCCACGAUCCGUAGCUGGUCUGAGAGGAUGAUCAGCCACAUCGGGACUGAGACACGGCCCGAACUCCUACGGGAGGCAGCAGUGGGGAAUAUUGGACAAUGGGGGCAACCCUGAUCCAGCCAUGCCGCGUGUGUGAAGAAGGCCCUCGGGUUGUAAAGCACUUUCAGCGAGGAAGAACGCCUAGCGGUUAAUACCCGCUAGGAAAGACAUCACUCGCAGAAGAAGCACCGGCUAACUCCGUGCCAGCAGCCGCGGUAAUACGGAGGGUGCAAGCGUUAAUCGGAAUUACUGGGCGUAAAGCGCGCGUAGGUGGCUUGAUAAGCCGGUUGUGAAAGCCCCGGGCUCAACCUGGGAACGGCAUCCGGAACUGUCAAGCUAGAGUGCAGGAGAGAAGUAGAAUUCCCGUGUAGC